RNAcentral lists this long non-coding RNA (15953 nucleotides) under Hordeum vulgare. RNAcentral describes it as "long non-coding RNA (HVUL_LNC003158)". The record is from RNAcentral. Lineage: Eukaryota; Viridiplantae; Streptophyta; Magnoliopsida; Poales; Poaceae.
CCGGCCGUUCUGGGACAAAGCUGAGAAUGACCCGAUUGCUAAAGGGGUCCAACCAUAGACAUUGAACUGGCCAGACCAUUCAAGGACUUGGUUCUUCAGGGUUGGGGGAACUUUGGACCCUGAAACAGGGAAGUGUCAUUGGACAGACUAGAAACUUCCAAUACCCAUGACCAAGCUUCACAAGUGUAUCGUCGCGGCGCAGGAAGAGACAUUCAUUCCAGACAGAGAGAAUCACGAGGUGACUGAGGCCCUAGGGAAUGUUGAGCACCCUGGACAAACACGACGCACACCAGGCUCUGUUCCAUGGAAGUUUGGCUUUCCUAAUGCAAGAGGUUACAGAAGCCGGGAGAGAAAGAGGAAAGCGGAGCUGAGCGACAUGCAGUAGAUCAAGGCAAGACUGCAAAAGCUAGAGGAACUUGAGAGCCAGCGAGCUGCCGGCCAACCAUCUCAGUAGCACGAAGCUACCCUAGAAGGUACCCCACCAUUUCAGCGGAGAAGCAGCGUGGCUUCCACGAAGCCCAUUCAGCAUGACUUCACGACUCCUAGCUACCCCGUGGAUACUAUCACGGAGGCUCAAUGUUGCAAGCUUAUGAUGAAAUGUCGGAACCUCACUUUUAAGGCGGCUGUCGGCUCUAUUGAACCUCCUCAACCCAACGGAACUUUUCACUGCCUUCCGAUUCCACAUGGCUAUGUUAUUGUGAUGGUGGAUCAAGUAAUGGAGGUAUUUGAGCAGAUCGAGCUUGAUCACCCUACAGGUGAGGGGGAGAUUCAGUUGGUUCGUGUUGUGGGGAGUACAUGUCUAUGGCAGAAGGAGUUCAUCAAGCUUCCAAACUAGACGGCUCCGCCUCCUCCUUCGACGACGACGAGUCAGGGCACUCUGCCUCCUCCCCCUCCUCCUCCGGCGAGUGAUCAGGGCACUCCGCCUCCUUCUCCAUCUCCUCCGAUGCGUGAGGGCACUUCGCCUCCUCCUUCGCCUACCCCAGCGCGUCAGAGCAGUCCGCCUCCUCCUUUGCCUCAUCGGCAACAUCGGAAGACAAACGCCCUCCGGCUCGUCCGGCGCGUCAGAGCAGUCCGCCUCCUUCUCUCAAACGGAAGAUAUACGCCUCCUUCUCUCCGGCAGCUAGCAGUACAAGCGGAGGCGGGAAAUACGGUCCAUCUCUCAAGCCUCUAGAAAAGUUACCAUAUGAGAGGACCAAGGAGGAAAACGAGGAGAUAUGUCGUGCCGAAUUGAGGGCGCAUUUUGCAAAGAAAACUCCACCUCCGAAGGAGAAGCUAGAUCCAGUGAAAGUAGAGCGCACUAUCAAUCAACUGCAGCAUCCACAACCGCCUCUGCCGGAUUCCAACUAUGACCGCAUUCUUAAAAAGACAUAUGCACAAGCGAUGCGGUCGGGAACUACUUCUAGUGAUGCAAGGUUAGCAGAACGAACAAGUGGGAAAACAAUUCCCGAGCUCGAUAUAGUCGUCGCUAAUCAUCCAGAGAUGGUGCCCAUUACGAUUCCUGAUGAUUAUUUGGGGGAUGAUGUAACAAAAGAACAAUAUAAAUACGUGCACGGGAAGCCUCUCGUCAAACCUGGUCAUCCUUCUCUAACAACGAUGAUGCACAGAUUGCAUGAGUGGUACAUGAAAACCUGCAGGGAGUCUGGGAAAAACGCUAUGUAUGUGGCAGUGAAACCAGAGCAUGAAUUCAUUGGACUUCCCAUGAAUACUAUUCAAUUUGAGGAGUUAUUUCAGUUAUACAAUCAACUGGCCCUUGACAAACAACUCAUGACUUCCUACUGUCUGUAAAUAUUAAUUGUAUAGUUAAGUGUCUAGCUCAGCUCGUUCAUUGCAUGUAUAUAUAAUUAUCCUCACUAUAGAUAUUAUGCAGAUUGAAGAUCGUCGAAUUAAAAAAAGCAGGAAUCGUCGACGUUGGUUUCAUUAGCCCAGAUGUCGUAAAUGAAUUGAUGAUACAAAACUCAUCAAAGAGACCGAGGAGAACUUGCUAAACUCGUUCCUUAUACAUAAAAAAGGGAAAUAAUCUUUCCUUACAACUUCAAGUGAGUGUUGUUGUCUUCUCUGUAAACUCGGUUUCGCUUACUCGAGGUUAAUUAAGUAAUGUAAUUGAUGGGUUAUAUAUGCGCGCGCAGAGACCACUUUAUUCUGCUAUCCAUUGACGUUGGCACGGCAUUAGUAAAUGUCUUAGACUCGAGCCGUAAAGCCGAAGAGGAUUAUGAGGACAUAACUGCAAUGCUCAAGAAGUAAGUUCAGUCAAUAUACCGAGACCAUAUCGGCAUGCAACUUUCAUUAAUUUCUUGAUAACAUGUAAUCAUUUUCUUUGCCUGGCAGGAUUUGGACGAAGUUCGCCAAUAAAGUUCCCGGUCUAAACAAAGAGUUGCGAUUUACGCACCCCAAAGUAAGUAGUACUAGCUAGUUCCAUGCAUCUCUAAUUGAUUCACAUUUUCAUCAAUAUAUCAUUACCAUGUUUGCUUAUCAGUUUGAUUGAACUCUAUUCUCGUAAAGUGUAUGUACCAGAAAGAAGGCAUUGUUUUAUGUGCAUACUACGUAUGCGAGUUCAUUCGCCACUCGACCUCUGCGCGCGUCUUCUGUGAGAAACAAUUUCAAGUACGUAAAGAAUAUUCACAAUUAUGUUGAGUUUUAUUCAUAUAUAUGCAUGAUUGACCCCUUCUUUAAAUUAGAUUUGCGAGAUGCGGGAUCAACUCCUGUCAUAUGAUCGCAUACGAGCAAUUAAAGAGGAAUUGGCGGAAUUCUUUGUUGACCAUGUCAUACCUAAAGACGGAGAAUGCCAUGUGGAUUUGUCAUUGGAUCUUAAUUAGAUGAUGUUUUGGAUUAAUUGUAAAAGAUCUUAUAUUGUAUAUAUGUAAUAGUGUCAGAUAGAAAUACAAAACCUUGGUGUUCGACCAAGCCUGGAGAAAGAGAGGACACUUCUCUCUAUUAGCUAGCUAACACAAUAUGAAACCACUAAAUUAACACUCCAAAAGCCCCCAAACCCACCCCCCAUUCAAAAAAAAAACAGCUCCGGCCAGAUGCUGACGCGUGGAUGCCAUGUUGUCCCAGUUGGUGUGACCAACCGGGACUAAAGAACCUCCUGCCCGGGCUACCCGCAGAGGCCACGUGGAGACCCUUUUGUCCCGGUUAGUAAGGAAACUGGGACUAAAGGUUAUGGGCUUUAGUCCCGACCCUUUAGUCCCGGUUCUAGAACCGGGGCUAAUGGGCCUUUGGAACCGGGACAAAUGGGCCAUUUUCUACUAGUGUGUUUUGGUCAUCAGAAAAGUUUCGAGCUCAUCGAUAGUGUACGGGGAGUGCUAGGAGGGUGCCGGGGGACCAUCGGGAGGGGUGUGACGACCCAAGAGACUUAUGGGCUAUGAGAGGAGGUGGACCAGCCCCUGGUGGGCUGGUCAAACCCUCACUCAAAAGCCCAUGCGGCUAGGAGUGCAGAUAAAAGGCAAAAGUCCUUUAAAAGGAAAGGAAGGAGUCCUCCUCCCAAAGUAGUCCACCUCCCUUGUGGGAAGGUGGACUCUUCCUUUAGGCUUCGGCUGACCCCUUCUCCUUGGAGUAGGGGCCAAGGCUGCCUCCUCUCCCCUCCUCCUAUAUAUACUAGAGGUAUUGAGGGUUUUUGGAAAACACAGAAAUCAGCCACGGCUGCCUCUCUCUCUCUAGAUCUGUUUCGCCUCUAGUCUAAUUUGGGAGUGCUUAGGCGAAGUCCUGCUAGAUUGGUUCACUNCCACCACCACGCCGCCGUACUAGAGAACUCAUCUAACUCUUCGCCCCCUCUUGCUGGUUCAAGAAGGCGGAGAUCGUCAUCGAGCUGUACGUGUGUGAACGCGGAGGUGUCGUCCGUUCAACACUAGAUCGGGAUAGAUCGUGAUGGGAUCGCACGACGGAUCGUGAUGAGAUCGUGGGACGGGAUGUGAUUUGAAUCGCGAAGAUGUUCCACUACAUCAACUGCAUUAUACGCUUCCGCUUAGAGAUCUACAAGGGUAUGUAGAUUCACUCUCCCCUCUCGUAGAUGAUCAUCACCAUGGAUAGGUAUUGUGUGGGUAGGAAUUUUUUUUGUUUCCCAUGCUACAUUCCUCAACAGUGGCAUCAUGAGCUAGGUUCAUGCGUAGAUGAUAUCUCGAGUAUAACACAAAAGAGUUUGUGGGCAUUGAUGUUCAAUUUGCCGCCCUCCUUAGUCUUUUCUUGAUUUGGCGGUAUUGUUGAAUUGAAGCGGCCCGGACCAACAUUACUCGUACGCUUACGGGAGACCGGUUUAAUCGACUAACAUGCAACUUGUUGCAUAAAGAUGACUGGCGGGCGUCUGUUUCUUCAACUUUAGUUGAAUCGGAUUAAACUAGAUACUUGCAUAUCACCGUUGUGGUUUUGCGUAAGUAAGAUGCGAUCAAACUAGAUACCCAUAGCAGCGACAUAAAACAUGCAACAACAAAUUAGAGGACAUCUAACUUGUUUUUGCAGGGUACGCAGAUGAUGUGAUAUGGCCAAUGACAUGAUAUGAUAUAUUGGAUGUAUGAGAUGAUCAUGUUGUAAUAUUUAAAUAUCGACUUGCACGUCGAUGCUACGACAACCGACAGGAGCCAUAGGGUUGUCUUUAAUUAUUUUGCGCUUGGUGAUUCUUUGCUUUAUCGCUAGUAGUAGCUUUAGUAGUAACAUCAUAGUUAGUAUGACAAUCUCGAUGGUAGCACAAUGAUGUAGAUCAUGAUGAUGGAGAUCAUGGUGUGGCGCGGGUGACGAUGGAGAUCAUGCUGGUGCUUUGAUUAUGAAGAUCAAGAAGCACAAGUUCAUGGCCAUAUCAUGUCACUUAUGAUUUGCAUGUGAUGUUAUUCCUUUUAUGCACCUUGUUUUGCUUAGGACGACGGUAGCAUUAUAAGGUGAUCCCUCACUAAAAUUUCAAGAUAAAAUGGUGUUCUCCCCGACUGCGCACCAUUGCGAUAGUUCGUCGUUUCGAGACAGCACGUGAAGAUCGGGUGUGAUAGAUUGAACGUUCACAUACAGCAGGUGCAAAAUAGUUGCACACGUGGAACACUCGGGUUAAACUUGACGAGCCUAGCAUGUACAAACAUGGCCUCGGAACACAAGAGACCUAAAAGUCGAGCAUGAAUCAUAUAGUUGAUAUGAUCAACAUGGAUAUGUUCACCAUUGAAACUAUACUCAACUCACGUGAUGAUCGGACUUGAGUUAGUGAAUUUGGAUCAUGCAACACUCGAAUGACUAGAGGGAUGUCAAUUUGAGUGGGAGUUUAUUAGUAAUAUGAUUAGCUAAACUCAAUUAUCAUGAAAAUAGUCAAAAGGUCUUUGCAAAUUAUGUUGUAGCUUGCACUGUAGCUCUACUCGUUUUUGAUAUGUUCCUGGAGAAAAUUUAGUUGAACGAUGAUAGUAGCAAUUAUGCAGACUGGGUCCAUAAACUGAGGAUUGUCCUCAUUGUUGCGUAGAUAGCUUAUGUCCUUAAUGCACCACUGGGUGUGCUGAACCUCGAGCAUCGUCUGUGGAUGUUGCGAACAUAUGACAUACACAUUUUUGAUGACUACAUGAUAGUUUAGUGCGUAAUGCCUAAAACGGCUUAGAAUUGAGGCAUUGAAGACGUUUCAAACGUCACGGGACAUACGAGAUGUUCCAAGAAAUGAAAUUGGGAUUUCAGGCUCGUGCCCUUGUUGACAGGUAUGAGACCUCUGACAAGAUUCUUUGUCUAGAAAGUAAGGGAAAAAAGCUCAAUCGUUGAGCACGUACUCAGAUUGUCUGAGUGCUACAAUCGCUUGAAUCGAGUGGGAGUUAAUAUUCCAGAUGAGAUAGUGAUGCUUCUCCAAAGUCACUGCCACCAAGCUACUGGAGCUUUGUGAUGAACUAUAGCAUAUCGGGGAUGAAUAUGAUGAUCCCUGAGCUAUUCAAGAUGUUUGACAUUGCGAAGGUAGAAAUCAAGUAGGAGCAUCAAGUGUUGAUGGUUAGUAAAACCACUAGUUUCAAGAAGGGCAAGGGCAAUAAGGGAUACUUCAUGAAAGACAAACCAGUUGCCGCUCUAGUGAGAAAACCCAAGGUUAAACCCAAACCCAAGACUAAGUGCUUCUAUAAUGAGGGGAAUGGUCACUCGAGCGAAACUACCCUAGUUACUUGGUAGAUAAGAAGGUUGGCAAAGUCAACAAAAGUAUAUUGGAUAUACAUGAUAUUGAUGUGUACUUUACUAGUACUCAUAGUAGCACCGGGGUAUUAGAUACCGGUUCGGUUGCUAAGUGUUAGUAACUCGAAAUAAAAGCUAUGGAAUAAACGAAGACUAGCUGAAGGCGAGGUGACGAUGUGUGUUGGAAGUGUUUACAAAGUUGAUGUGAUCACCAUCGUACGCUCCCUCUACUUUCGAGAUUAGUAUUGAACCUAAAUAAAUGUUAUUUGGUGUUUGCGUUGAGCAUGAACAUGAUUAGAUCGUUUUUAUUGCAAUAUGAUUAUUCAUUUAAAGAUAAUAAUGGUUAUUCUAUUUGGUUGAAUAAAUACCUUCAAUGGUUUAUUGAAUCUCGACCGUAGUGAUACACAUGUUCAUAAUAUUUGAUGCCAAAAGAUACAUAGUAAUGAUAGUACCACUUUCUUGUGGCACUGCCGCUUGAGUCAUAUUGGUGUAAACGCAUGAAGAAGCUCCAUACUGAUGGAUCUUUGGACUCACUCGUUUUUAGAAUCGUUUGAGACAUCCGAACCAUGCCUAUUUGUGUAAACGCAUGAAGAAACUCCAUGCAGAUGGAUCGUUUGGACUCACUUGAUUUUAAAUCACUUGAGACAUGCAAAUCAUGGGCAAGAUGACAGAAGGACUUGUUUUCCUGUGAGAUGGAACAAGAGAGUAACUUGUUGGAAGUAAUACAUUUUGAUGUAUGCAAUCCAAUGAGUGCUGAGGCACGCAGUGGAUAUCAUUAUGUUCUUACUUCACAAAUGAUUUGAGUAGAUACUGGUAUAUUCAAUUAAAAAAAACAAGACUGCAUUAUUGAAAGGUUCAAGUAAUUUCAGAGUGAAGUUGAAGAUCGUCGUGACAAGAGGAUAACAUGUCUACGAUAUGAUCGUGGAGAUGAAUAUCUGAGUUGCGAGUUUGGUACACAUUUAAGACAAUGUGAAAAUUAUAUCAUAACUAAUGCCACCUGGAACACUAUGGUGUGAUGGUGUGCCCGAACGUCAUAGCCACACCAUAUUGGAUAUGGUCCAUCCUAUGAUGUUUCUUAUCGAAUUACCACUAUCGUUUUUGGGUUAUGCAUUAGAGACAACCGCUUUCACUUUAAACAGGGGACCACGUAUUUUCUUGAUAUGACAACUUAUGAACUAUGGUUUGGAGAAACCUAAGCUGUCGUUUCUUAAAAGUUUGGGGCUGCGACGCUUAUGUGAAAAAGUAUCAGCGUGAUAAGCUCGAACCCAAAGCGGAUAAAUGCUUCUUCAUAGGACACCCAAAACAUUUGAGUAUACCUCCUAUCUCAGAUCCAGAACCAAAGUGUUUGUUUCUAGAAACGGGUCCUUUCUCGAGAAAAAGUUUCUCUCGAAAGAAUUGAGUGGGAGGAUGGUGGAACUUGAUGAGGUUAUCGAACCGUCACUUCAACCAGUGUGUAGCAGGGCGCAGGAAGUUGUUCCUGUGGCGCCUACACGAAUUGAAGUGGGAGCUGAUGAUAGUGAUCAUGAAGCUUCAGGAUUAAGUUACUACAAAUCUCGUAGGUCGACAAGGCCACAGACUGCUCCAGAGUGGUACGGUAACCCUGUCUUGGAGGUCAUGUUGUUGGACAACAAUGGACCUACGAGCUAUGGAGAAGCGAUGGUGGGCCCGGAUGCCGACAAAUGGCUGGAGGCCAUGAAAUCCAAGAGAGAAUCCAUGUAUGGAAACAAAGUGUGGACUUUCGAAGAACUACUUGAUGGUCGUAAGACUAUUAAGUACAGAUGGAUCUUUAAAAGGAAGACACGCGAUGAUGGUGAAAAGUCACCAUUAAUAAAACUCGACUUGUCGCAAAGAUGUUUCCGACAAGUUCAAAGAGUUGACUAUGAUGAGACUUUCUCACUCGUAGUGAUGCUAAAAGUCUGUUGGAAUUAUGUUAGCAGUUGCUGCAUUAUUUAUGAAGUAUUGCACAUAGGAUGUCAAAACAUUGUUUCCUCGAUGGUUUCCUUGAUGAAAGGUUGUAUGUGAUACAACUAGAAGGUUUUGUCGAUCCUAAGGAUGCUAACAAGUAUGCAAGCUCCAGCGAUCCUUCUAUGGACUGGUGCAAGCAUCUCAGAGUUGGAAUAUACGCUUUGAUGAGAUGAUCAAAGCUUUUGGGUUUAUACAAGGUUUAUGAGAAACUUGUAUUUCCAAAGAAGUGAGUGGGAGCACUAUAAAAUUUCUGAUUAGUAUAUGUGGUUGACAUAUUUUUGAUCGAAAAUGAUGUAGAAUUUCUAGAAAGCAUAAAGGGUUGUUUGAAAGGAGUUUUUCAAAGGAAAAGCUGGAUUGAGCUACUUGAACAUUGAGCAUCAAGAUCUAUAGAGAUAGAUCACAACGCUCAAUAGAACUUUCAAAUGAACACAUAUCGUGACAAGAUUUUGAAGGAGUUCAAAAUAGAUCAGUCAAAGAAUGAGUUCUUGGCUGUGUUAUAAGGUGUGAGCAUUGAGUAAGACACAAAACCCGACCCGGCAGAGGGGAGGAAGAAGGUCAUCCCCUAUGCAUUAUACGUAGGCUCUAUAGUAUGAUAUACUGUGUACCGCACGUGAUGUGUGCCUUGCCAUGAAUCUGUCAAGGGGUACAAAAGUGAUCCACGGAUGGAUUACUCGACAACGGUCAAAAGUUGUCCUUAGUAACUAGUGGAAUAAGGAAUUUUUUUCCUUGAUUAUGGAGGUGAUAAAAGAGUUCUUCGCAAAGGGUUACGUCGAUGCAAGCUCUAACACUAAUCCGGAUAACUCUGAGUAGUAAACCGGAUUCGUAUAGUGGAGCAGUCAUUUGGAAUAGUUCCAAAUGGUACGUGGUAGCAGCAUCUAUAGGAUGACAUAGAGAUUUGUAUAGCACACACGAAUCUAAAAGGUUCAUACCCGUUGACUAGAAAACCUCUCUCAGAAGCAAGAUAUGAUCAAUCCCCAUGGGUGUUAGAUUCAUUACAAUCACAUAGUGAUGUGAACUAGAUUAUUGACUUUGGUGCAAGUGGAAAACUAUUGGAAAUAUGCCCUAGAGGUAAUAAUAAAUUGGUUAUUACUUUAUUUCCUUGUUCAUGAUAAACAUUUAUUGUUCAAUAUUGAACUAGGUAUACAGAUACCGACGAUCGAAUCUCGGGCAAGUAACAUAUCAAAGGACAAAGGGAACAUCAUACGGGAUUAACUGAAUCCUUGACAUAGAGGUUCAACCGAUAGAGAUCUUUGUAGAAUAUGUAGGAGCCAAUAUGGGCAUCCAGGUCCCGCUAUUGGUUAUUGACCAGAGAGUGUCUCGGGUCAUGUUUGCAUAGUUCUCGAACCCGUAGGGUCUGCACACUUAAGGUUCAAUGACGUUUCAGUAUAGUUGAGUUAUAGGUGUUAUUGACCGAAGGCUGUUCGGAUUCCCGGAUGAGAUCAUGGACAUCACGAGGUGCUUCAGAAUGAUCCGGAGGUAAAGAUUGAUAUAUAGGAAGUCCUGUUUUGGUCACCGGAAAAGUUUCGGGCUCAUCGAUAGUGUACCGGGAGUGCCGGGAGGGUGCCGGGGGACCACCGGGAGGGGUGUGACGACCCAAGAGCCUUAUGGGCUGUGAGAGGAGGUGGACCAGCCCCUAGUGAGCUGUCCGAAGCCUCUCUCAAAAGCCCAUGCGGCUAGGAGUGGAGAUAAAAGGCAAAAGUCCUUUAAAAGGAAAGGAAGGAGGAGUCCUCCCAAAGUAGUCCACCUCCCUUGUGGGAAGGUGGACUCUUCCUUUAGGGUUCGGUCGACCCCUUCUCCUUGCAGUAGGGACCAAGGCUACCUCCUUUCCCCUCCUCCUAUAUAUACUAGAGGUAUUGAGGGUUUUUGGACAACACAGAAAUCAGCCACGGCUGCCUCUCUCUCUCUAGAUCUGUUUCGCCUCUAGUCUAAUUUGGGAGUGCUUAGGCGAAGUCCUGCUAGAUUGGUUCACUACCACCACCACCAUGCCGCCGUGUUGGAGAACUCAUCUACCUCUCCGCCCCCUCUUGCUGGUUCAAGAAGGCGGAGAUCGUCAUCGAGCUGUACGUGUGAUGAACGCGGAGGUGUCGUCCGUUCGGCACUAGAUCGAGGUAGAUCGUGAUGUGCUUGUGGGACGAAUCGUGAUGAGAUCGCGUGACGGGGUGCGAUUUAAAUCGCGAAGAUGUUCCACUACAUCAACCGCAUUAUAUACUCUUCCUCUUAGCGAUCUACAAGGGUAUGUAGAUUUGCUCUCCCCUCUCGUAGAUGAUCAUCGCCAUGGAUAGGUAUUGCGUGUGUGUAGGUAAUUUUUUGUUUCCAUGCUACGUUCCUCAAUACUGUGAGGGCGGCAUAUUGGAGCUUCAACUUCUCCUCAUCUUUGAUUAUCCUCCAACAAUGUCAAAGGUUGAAGGACUUGUCUUCACGUUGGACCUUGAAUGCCUCUAAAGCUUGGAAUGCCUACAAAUGAAUUACACGCAAGCAUAUUAACAAAUGAACAUGCAAACAAUGAGAGGGAGGGUGUAUCCAUGCAUACCAUGUAUUCUAUGUCGAUGCCGCUCACGGGGCGUGCCAUCGCUUUGAAAUGGACACCCACCCACGCGUGCUUUGCAUUUGGUACGUCGGAAACUUUUUGCGUUCGCGAAACUCACGAUGGACACGAAUCCAAAAGGUUGAUGCCUUUUGAUCGGCGCCGACCUUGUGGUCUUGCCCAAUGUCCCUCCAACACUCAUAAAGGAGCUUGUCCUCGACCGCCGGGUAUGCCUUCAGCCGUCUGCUCUUUCACUUGGGCUGCACCCUGACGGCUUGCGUGGCAAGCUCGUCCUCGAAUAGAGGCUCUCCGUCGAUGUCCAUCUCAUCCUCUUCAUCGAGGCCGUAGUCAUCCGGAAACACAUGGUCGAGCGGAAAUCCGUCCAGGUCCAUCUGACCUGAUCUUGCACGAAGGCUGGCUGCAUGCCAGCUUCGUCAUAGGCCGACAACGUGAACGGUCCUCCUCAGCCAUCAUGGCUUUGGGUCUCAUCGAGAUCACAGCCAGCACCACCUGCGACCGCCGAAGCACCCUCGAAGCACCCUCGAAGAUGAUGCUAUGUAAGUGGUUGGCCCUCUCGUUGUGUGUGGCUACCGACAUUCGGUCGAACAGGUUGCGGGCGCCGGAGAGCAUGUCGGCUGACGUCUCCGCGCGCGUUUCCUCAUCCCACCAGAUGACGAGCCACCGACUACUUGUGUGGCAUUGAGGUCAAUGUGCACAGGCGUGGGAGUGGAUGGUGCCAUCACGCUCACCUCCGACGAGCAUUCGCCGGAGAGGCGAGAGGCUUGGGGGUAGACGUGGAGGUGGGGAUAGGAUGAGUCGUCGACGCGUGGGGCAACUCUGAUAACGCCAUCCGAGGGAAGGCAAAUGAGCAUGUGCUGGCCGUGGCCACGGCGUUAACGAGCCCGUGCUGGGCUGGGUUUAACCCUAGGUACAAAAGUGCCUUCCUAGUUGCCGUCGCGACGCGUGCAGCGGUAUCCUCCCGCUGCGCUGCGGUGGCUAAGGCCGUGGCGGCCGCUGCUUUCUCCCUUGCGCCCGCCGCGUGCCUCUGGCCCUUUUUCUUCGCCGACUUUCAUGCUCGCUCCUCAAGCGUCAACUCCUUCUUCUUCUUGGAUGCGGCGACGGUCUUUCGGGGGGCGCGAGGCUUGCCUUCGCGAGAGGGGACGGUCGUGAUACCGGACGAGGUGAGGGAGGUGAGGCUGACGGCGGCAUCGAGGUCGUCGUCCAUGGCGAGCGGCAGGGGAGCGCGCGCGGCCGGGAGGGUUUUGAGAAAGUGAAGGAAAAUGUGGAGGCUUUGCCGCUAACUGGCGGGUCAGCGGGAGUAGUUGGCGUGCAACGCGCGCGUUUGUCUCGUAUCCGCGUGGACGCAAAUGAGGCUUAAAAAAUGAAUCAGGAAUGAGUCGACGGGCGGAUGAAAAGGGGACGCGCGUCUGUUUGGAUCGUUACGUUGGGACGAUUUUUCUGUUUGCUGCGAUUCAAACGGACGCGCACGGACAAAAUGGGUCGACGCGAGUUGUAGUCGCUCUCAUGGACCAAACUCACUAAACCACAGCGGAAGAGAAGGUGCGCCAUAUAGCGUUGCAAUCUUUUUCAUAGAUACAGGGGGUAUAAAUUUCCAAGUAGCCUUAUCCCUCAAUUCACUGCACGAGGCUACUUUUUGAUGCGUGGCCGUGGGGUAUUCUGAGAUGGUUGGCUUCACAGUACCACGCGCCACGCAGAUGCUGUGAACUGGAACUCAGGUUCUCGUGCCUGGUGUUCCCGGAGUUUGUUGGCUUGACGGCGGGCACCACGCAGAUGCUCCGAAUUGGAAGUCUGAAACUGAAACUGAACUGACGAGCCACCAGGGUCUUCUGCAGUAAGUUCGGACGCUACUUUUCUAGCGGUCAGUUAGGUCCAAAGAUGGAUGUUGCUUUUGCCUUGCGUGAAGAGUGAGACGGUUACGACCGGAACUCCUCGCACAAAACAAGCGAUCAAAAACUCCUUCGAGUCAAUCUUGGUAGAGGAAGCGAUGGCAGUUCAGAAGACAGGAAAAACUACAUGAAAAAAAGUGUUGUCAAGAGUGGGAUUUGAACCCACGCCCUUUCGGACCAGUACCUGAAACUGGCGCCUUAGACCAACUCGGCCAUCUUGACUUGACGUCCAAUUCGGGUAUAAAUUUCCAAGUAGCCUUAUCCCUCAAUUCACUGCACGAGGCUACUUUUUGAUGCGUGGCCGUGGGGUAUUCUGAGAUGGUUGGCUUCACAGUACCACGCGCCACGCAGAUGCUGUGAACUGGAACUCAGGUUCUCGUGCCUGGUGUUCCCGGAGUUUGUUGGCUUGACGGCACCACGCAGAUGCUCCGAAUUGGAAGUCUGAAACUGAAACUGAACUGACGAGCCACCAGGGUCUUCUGCAGUAAGUUCGGACGCUACUUUUCUAGCGGUCAGUUAGGUCCAAAGAUGGAUGUUGCUUUUGCCUUGCGUGAAGAGUGAGACGGUUACGACCGGAACUCCUCGCACAAAACAAGCGAUCAAAAACUCCUUCGAGUCAAUCUUGGUAGAGGAAGCGAUGGCAGUUCAGAAGACAGGAAAAACUACAUGAAAAAAAGUGUUGUCAAGAGUGGGAUUUGAACCCACGCCCUUUCGGACCAGUACCUGAAACUGGCGCCUUAGACCAACUCGGCCAUCUUGACUUGACGUCUCUUAACAUUAUGGAUUCCUAUCUAUACUUGUCUUCUUUACAAUGUUUUUAUUCUCAAGAACCACGGAGAUGAUUUUUAGGUUGCUCACCACAUAUAGAUCUGUAUCCAUAUAUUAAGAUUGAAGAUAGAGAUGUUUCGAUGAAAAUAAGGAUUACAAGUGCUUGACCGCGGUUGCGCCGCACCACGCACCAUGAGAAACCAAUGUGAGAUCACUCUUGUUGGACUAUCUUCCAUUCCCGAUGUUGAUCCUUUAUCUUCUCGGUUAGAAAUGCCGCUCUCGAGCCAGAUGGAUUGCAAACUUCACAUAGCGGCUGAGUUGAAACAUCUCUUAAGUACAUGAUUUGCAAUAUAGUGGCUUAAGAAUCGGAAGGGAUCAAGGGAUGCAUGGCAUAUGGGAUUCGGCACAAUGGUAACCUCCUUUGGUGCCCACCGUAUUAAGAAAAAAGAGAAAUAUAUUAAUAUUAAGUAGAUAUCAAUUACAUCCCAGUCUCUGCACCCACUAGAUGCAUAUAAACAUCCAGGAUACACAUAGUCAAAAAAGAAAAUAUAAAGAAAAAAAAACUGCCAUGAACAUCAAUCACUUGCAGUAACCAUCAUCAAAAACUACACCUGGACUAGAAAGAUAGUUCUUAAAAAAAUGCCUUCAAGAAAAAUACAAUGCAUAAACUUUGUCGUUGCCCGAUUAAAGAAUGUGAACAGCAUGCCGCUUGAACCCCAACCCCCCCUCCUACAAUAUGUUACUCUCGUUGUAACUUUCAGUGUGGCAUCAGACGAUCCAUCAAACUUCAGAAGCUGCUCUUGUCCCACCUGUCCUACGCGCUGUUGACCUUAAAUAUUCAAAAAGUCCUUGGUUGGAACUAAGUUCAUGCCAAUAAUUGGUCUUCCCAAAUCUACUACACCAUCAAAACAUAUAUACUUACUAGAAAAAAAAGAACAUAAAUGAGUGCUCCAUUGAAACUUCGUCAGCCAAUAAUUGGAACUAAGUUCAUGCCAAUAAUUGGUCUCCUGACUCACAUUGAUAAUUUCGUUUUUUCCAUCCAAUAAUGUCAGCUGUACCUAAAAAACCAUACUAUUCGGCAGCGUUAUUAUUGAUUCAUUACUCCUUGUACCAGCUGCCUUGCGUGGGGAAGGAAGCGACCCAUCAACCACCACUACCACGAAAUUUCCGACGAUUCUCCAUGAUAACAAAUUUCAAGUCUCGUGUUUUCCCCCUCCUAAUCUGAACGAUUGGAUGAGGAUGAGGAUGAGGAUGAGGAUGAGGAUGAGGAAUCUAUCUACACUUGUUUCUCCUACCUGGACUCCGAUGGCAUUUGCGCCAUGUUUAUAUUCUGCGUGGAGAUGAACACAUGUCCGUUUUUUUUUGUGAUCAACGGAACACAUGGCCGUUGCUUGCUUGCACGUUGUUUCCUCGAAACUGAACCUGAUCAACCGACGGCAUAUUCGAACGGAUUCGUAUCCGUCCCAGCAUCUUUUUAGUACCAUAUGAUUGUGUAAACAACGAGUCGCGUGUUGCAUGAAGUUACACAGCGUCUUAUGCUAUAUAAGUAGUCGCGCCAUAGCUGCAGCUACACAUCUCAGCGUUAACAGGCCAAGAUGAAGCUCGUCGUGCUCUCGGCCCUGCUCCUGCUUUCUCUCGUCGCCGUCUCCUCGGCGGAGGAAUUCGAUUUCUUCUACCUUGUGCAGCAAGUGAGUAGUCGAUGACCGAUUUCCAAUCCGUGUAGAUCGUUUCUUGUACAGAUUGCAAAGUUAGGGUUGGCUGAUUAUUCCUUCCAGAAAACCGAUGAGUCUAACGAUCGGGAUCUCGUUUCUUGGACGGACGUGCUUUCUAGUGGCCAGGGUCCUUCUGUGACACGAAGAAGGGGUGCUGCUUCCCGGACACCGGCAAGCCGGCGACGGACUUCGGCAUCCACGGGCUCUGGCCCAACUACGCCGAGUGCAAGACCCGCGGCGAGCUCGACGGCGCCUUGGAGAUGGUGACCAGGCGGAGGAAGAAGUGCUGGCCGGAGUCCUGCAACAGCGAGCGCCUCAAGCUCUGGGAAAUCAGGGACCUGGUGACGGAGCUGGACGCCAACUGGCCGACGCUGGCGUGCAAGGGCGGGAAGAGCUUCGAGUUCUGGACCCACGAGUGGGAGAAGCACGGCACCUGCUCCAACCUGGACCAGCACGGCUACUUCGCGACGGCGCUCGGCUUCAAGGCCCGCCACAACCUCACCAGCAUCCUCGCCGACGCCGGGAUCGUGCCGUCCGACACCGAGACCUACUUCCUCAGCAGCAUCAGGGACGCCAUCAGGGAGGGGACCGGGUUCACGGCGAACCUGGAGUGCAACCGUGGCGUCGACGGCGAGACGCAGCUGUUCCAGGUGUACCAGUGCAUCGACCGCGACGGGGAGAACCUCAUCGACUGCCCGCUGCCGAUGCAGGGCAACUGCAAAGACAGGGUCCAGCUGCCGGCCUUCUGAUUAAAUUUGAGUUCUAAUUGAACAUCCAUUGCCGCCGCCCGUCGGGGUGUGGCGGCUGAUUGGCUCGACGCGGCCGGCCAUCUGCACGGCGCGCGGCUGGAUUACGUGAUGGAUGUACCUUUGUGUUGGUUAUCGGUUCAGUUAAAAUUCCGUCCAGUCCUGAGUUCUGGACAUCGACGUAACGUUUUCUAUCAAUUCCUGAUCUCAACAGGCGAAUAAAGAC